RNAcentral lists this long non-coding RNA (206 nucleotides) under Elaeis guineensis (African oil palm). Its description in RNAcentral is "long non-coding RNA (EGUI_LNC026295)". Lineage: Eukaryota; Viridiplantae; Streptophyta; Magnoliopsida; Arecales; Arecaceae. The record is from RNAcentral.
AGCUUUUUUGUUAUAGUAUCAGUAUUGUGUUCCUUAUUAAGAAACAGAAUUGUGUUUCUUAUGAAGAAUGCAGAAGGGUUGCUGCCUACAUUUUGGUAGCCUUCCACUCCCCAUUUAAAACAUCAUGUGAGGGAGGAAAGAGACAGAGGCUUGCUGUCAUGUUGUAGCAGUCCUGCUUAAUGUCUGAUCAUUUAAAACAUCAUGCG